Molecule: ribosomal RNA, 743 nt
Filed under: uncultured bacterium
Lineage: Bacteria
Description: bacterial SSU rRNA
Rfam family: Bacterial small subunit ribosomal RNA
Source: RNAcentral
UGAACGCUGGCGGCAGGCCUAACACAUGCAAGUCGAACGGAGUUAUAUUGUAGCUUGCUAUGGUAUAACUUAGUGGCAGACGGGUGAGUAAUGUAUAGGAAUCUACCUAGUAGUACGGAAUAAUUGUUGGAAACGGCAACUAAUACCGUAUACGCCCUACGGGGGAAAAAUUUAUUGCUAUUAGAUGAGCCUAUAUUAGAUUAGCUAGUUGGUGGAGUAAUAGCCUACCAAGGCAAUGAUCUAUAGCUGAUCUGAGAGGAUGAUCAGCCACACUGGAACUGAGAUACGGUCCAGACUCCUACGGGAGGCAGCAGUGGGGAAUAUUGGACAAUGGGCGAAAGCCUGAUCCAGCCAUGCCGCAUGAGUGAAGAAGGCCUUUGGGUUGUAAAGCUCUUUUAGUGAGGAAGAUAAUGACGGUACUCACAGAAGAAGUCCUGGCUAACUCCGUGCCAGCAGCCGCGGUAAUACGGAGAGGGCUAGCGUUAUUCAGAAUUAUUGGGCGUAAAGGGCGCGUAGGCGGAUUAGUAAGUUAAAAGUGAAAUCCCAAGGCUCAACCUUGGAAUUGCUUUUAAAACUGCUAAUCUAGAGAUUGAAAGAGGAUAGAGGAAUUCCUAGUGUAGAGGUGAAAUUCGUAAAUAUUAGGAGGAACACCAGUGGCGAAGGCGUCUAUCGGGUUCAAAUCUGACGCUGAUGCGCGAAGGCGUGGGGAGCAAACACGAUUAGAGACCCUGGUAGUCCACGCU